Molecule: ribosomal RNA, 714 nt
Filed under: uncultured bacterium
Lineage: Bacteria
Description: bacterial SSU rRNA
Rfam family: Bacterial small subunit ribosomal RNA
Source: RNAcentral
GAGCGGCGGACUGGUGAGUAACACGUGGGUGAUCUACCUUUGGGUUGGGGAUAGCCACUAGAAAUAGUGGGUAAUACCGAAUACGUUCCGUUGACUACGGUCAGCGGAGGAAAGGCGCUACGGCGCCGCCCGGAGAUGAGCCUGCGCCCCAUUAGCUAGUUGGUGAGGUAAUGGCCCACCAAGGCUAUGAUGGGUAGGCGGCCUGAGAGGGUGUACGCCCACAUUGGGACUGAGAUACGGCCCAAACUCCUACGGGAGGCAGCAGCUAAGAAUAUUCCGCAAUGGACGAAAGUCUGACGGAGCGACGCCGCGUGGAUGAUGAAGGCCGGAAGGUUGUAAAGUCCUUUUGUCGGGGAAGAAUAAGCGUGGGAGGGAAUGCCCGCGUGAUGACAUGAACCGGCGAAUAAGCCCCGGCUAACUACGUGCCAGCAGCCGCGGUAACACGUAGGGGGCAAGCGUUGUUCGGAAUUACUGGGCGUAAAGGGCAUGUAGGCGGUUUUGUAAGCCUGACGUGAAAGGCUAUGGCUUAACCAUGGCACUGCGUUGGGAACUGCGAGACUUGAAUCACGGAGGGGGGAGCUGGAAUUCCAGGUGUAGGGGUGAAAAUCUGUAGAUAUCUGGAAGAAACACCAGUGGGUGUAAGGGCGAGCUCCUUGGGCCGAUGAAUUGACGCUGAAGGUGCCCAAAGUUGUGGGGGAUCAAACAGGAUUAGAU